Molecule: ribosomal RNA, 511 nt
Filed under: Euastacus kershawi
Lineage: Eukaryota; Metazoa; Arthropoda; Malacostraca; Decapoda; Parastacidae
Description: eukaryotic LSU rRNA
Rfam family: Eukaryotic large subunit ribosomal RNA
Source: RNAcentral
CGGCGAUUAAUCUGAGUAUCUAGUGGGCCAUUUUUGGUAAGCAGAACUGGCGCUGUGGGAUGAACCAAACGUCGAGUUAAGGGGCCUAAAUGAAUGCUCAUUCAGAUCCCAUCGAAAGGCGUUGGUUGCUAUAGACAGCAGGACGGUGGUCAUGGAAGUUGGAAUCCGCUAAGGAGUGUGUAACAACUCACCUGCCGAAGCAACUAGCCCUUAAAAUGGUAUGGCGCUAAAGCAUUCUCCCGAUACUCGACCGCCGGGGCACUAGCGGCCACGUCCCAGAGGCGAGGUCUCGAAGCCCCGGUGAGUAAGAGGGUCGCAGUGGUGAGCGCUGAAGGGAUCCGGCGUGAGCCGGCCUGGAGCCGCCACUGGUGCAGAUCUUGGUGGUAGUAGCAAAUACUCGAGAGAGACUCCCUUGAAGACCGAUGUGGAGAAGGGUUCCAUGUGAACAUCAGUUGGACAUGGGUUAGUCGCUCCUAAGCCCAAGGCUAAGGCCUGAUCCCAUGCUAGCGGC